UACGUAGGGGGCAAGCGUUGUCCGGAUUUAUUGGGCGUAAAGAGCUCGUAGGCGGCUUGUCGCGUCGACUGUGAAAACCCGUGGCUCAACCAUGUGGUCUGCAGUCGAUACGGGCAGGCUAGAGUUCGGCAGGGGAGACUGGAAUUCCUGGUGUAGCGGUGAAAUGCGCAGAUAUCAGGAGGAACACCGGUGGCGAAGGCGGGUCUCUGGGCCGAUACUGACGCUGAGGAGCGAAAGCGUGGGGAGCGAACAGG
This 254-nucleotide ribosomal RNA is filed under the name uncultured bacterium. Its description in RNAcentral is "partial 16S ribosomal RNA". It matches the Rfam family "Bacterial small subunit ribosomal RNA", at positions 524 to 776 of the family's 1533-position model. The record is from RNAcentral.